This 63-nucleotide transfer RNA is filed under the name Coleoptera sp. ACP-2013. Its description in RNAcentral is "tRNA-Gly". Lineage: Eukaryota; Metazoa; Arthropoda; Insecta; Coleoptera. The record is from RNAcentral.
UAUUUAUAUAAUAUAAAAAUUAUAUUUGACUUCCAAUCAAAAAAUCUAUUACUUAGUAUAAAU